This 465-nucleotide ribosomal RNA is filed under the name uncultured Klebsiella sp. RNAcentral's name for it is "bacterial SSU rRNA". It matches the Rfam family "Bacterial small subunit ribosomal RNA", at positions 338 to 795 of the family's 1533-position model. Lineage: Bacteria; Pseudomonadati; Pseudomonadota; Gammaproteobacteria; Enterobacterales; Enterobacteriaceae. The record is from RNAcentral.
CCUACGGGCGGCAGCAGUGGGGAAUAUUGCACAAUGGGCGCAAGCCUGAUGCAGCCAUACCGCGUGUGUGAAGAAGGCCUUCGGGUUGUAAAGCACUUUCAGCGGGGAGGAAGGCGUUAAGGUUAGUAACCUUGGCGAUUGACGUUACCCGCAGAAGAAGCACCGGCUAACUCCGUGCCAGCAGCCGCGGUAAUACGGAGGGUGCAAGCGUUAAUCGGAAUUACUGGGCGUAAAGCGCACGCAGGCGGUCUGUCAAGUCGGAUGUGAAAUCCCCGGGCUCAACCUGGGAACUGCAUUCGAAACUGGCAGGCUAGAGUCUUGUAGAGGGGGGUAGAAUUCCAGGUGUAGCGGUGAAAUGCGUAGAGAUCUGGAGGAAUACCGGUGGCGAAGGCGGCCCCCUGGACAAAGACUGACGCUCAGGUGCGAAAGCGUGGGGAGCAAACAGGAUUAGAUACCCGGGUAGUC